AUGUGUGAGCUGUCGUCAAUAUGUUCAAAGUCAGCAGUUACGGAAAGGAAGCCUACGGGGGCGCCAGCAGACCCGGCACUCGUGGAGGAGACUCGCCCCCCCCCGCCCCCCCCCCCCAAGUUGGUGCAGAGACGACUGCAGGAGAGUAGCCAGGAGGCUGAAUUCAUUCUUGCUGCCUCUUUUCAAUUCGCAGUUCAGUGUCAGCGUCUCAGUCUGGCAGAUCAGAAAGCUGCUGAGGAUGUUUGGCAUGAGUUUCCACAGGGAAGACUGGAGUCACUGAGAAGCCACAUUCUAAUCCCUUCAGGGCCUCCCAGUGGAAAAGCGACAGAACCCAAAGUCACCGUGGAAGUGGGACCCACGGCGGUAGGACACUGGCACCUGCCCACCUGGCCGCGUGAGAAUCGUGAAGUGACGACACCUCUGGAGGCCUCGAUUUCUCUGUCACCCUCAACACUAAGAGUUUUGGCCCUGGUCCUCUUGCUGAGUCAACGAGAAAGUCUUCAUGGAAAUGAAAACGAGGAGAUGAGUAAGAGAUGUUGAGAUGCCAGCAGCCGGACCACAACUGGUGAGAAGCCAGCCCGGGAGAGGGAAUUAACAUGGGAACAGGUGCAGGCGGGAGAGGUAGGGGUGGGGGGUGGAGGCAGAGACAGUGAGACCCAAUGGUGUUCAAGUUUCCAUCCUAUUUCUUAAGCCUAGCACAUCUGUUAUUACCAUUUUUUUUGUUAUAUAAGUGAAGAAGUUAAAAUGGUGGGAUUUAAAAAAAAAAAAAAGGGAGAAUCACCACAGUCCUGAAAUUUGGCUGUACAGACAUGAAAUGCUUUUUUAACUCUAUACUGAAAUCAACCCAAAUCUAGAACCUCUAUAUCCAGGAAUAAGGGUAAACCUUAUCUUGCUUUUUCAAGUAGCUCAUUCAACUAGUCACUCCUGGGUAAAUGCUCAGUCCGAAAUUCAGGGUUCUCCCCUUCACUCUUUGUCAAUCCCACUCUUGGGGAUGAACGAAGGUGCUGGAGAAUCAGGGUACUAAAAGGUAAUUUUUAAAAAUGUGACUCAUAUGAAUAUAAGAUGAAUUCGUGUCCAAGAUUUUAUGUUAUUGAUUAUUUCAUGAAGACACUGGUAAGAGGUAAAAACUGGUUCAAAGGAGAUCACAAGGAAAAACACAUCUAUAGGCAACCCGGAAUCUGAAUUGAAUUUGCUGAGAGAGGCAAAACUGGCCUCUUCCGCUAAGUAGAAACCGAGGCCUCCUCCCUGGACAAAACGCACCUGCGAUUCUUUCUUUCUUUCUUUCUCUUUCUUUCUUUCUUUCUUUCUUUCUUUCUUUCUUUCUUUCUUUCUACACACCUGCGUUUCUAAGAAUGGGAUUAUUCGCAUCAUCAUCAGCCUUUUGCAAGUUACCUUUAGUUUCUAUAGACUUGCGGAAUAGUCCAGGACAGUGAAAGACACAGAGCCUUGUGGAAUCCAGGUAACCCGGGAAGUUUCCAGAGAUUUUGCCUAGAAUUCCGUCUGUACAGUCUAAUCCUCUACACAGGCUCUACAGACUGGCUUACGUACAAGUGACUCUGAAUAACUGAACCUGAGACAGUUCCUGCCAAACGACACAAUUGCUGCCAAACUAAAAAUAUUCCUCCGUUUUCAUACAGUCCCCAAGCUCAAGUCAUGGGCAUCGUGACAACACAAUAACCACCCGAAUUUCUGGGUUUCUCCAUUGAUUUUCAUUGCGGCAGGUUAGCCAGGCACAUUGGUUAGCCCUGCCACAGCCCUUGGCUCCCCACCUUGAGAUGCGUGUGCAGGUGGAGGGCUAGCUCAGGAACUAGGGUUCUGUGAGAGGAGGGACGAGGUUUCAGAUUUCAAACUCAGAUAGACUUCUAGCCCCAAGAAGGAAAGCCUGAAAAUCAUGGAAAAAACACCCUUAAAAACCAGCACCCCUGUGGUCUGGCUCCCACCUGCCUCUUCCACACAUUGUGCUUCCAUUUGAAUAUUUCAUCCUGACUUUCCGUGUUAGGAAGCAUGCUGCAUCAUUUUUGGUCCAGAAAAGAUCAAAAAAUGAAAAUAUGCAUGAUCUGAUGGGAUUUCUCCUGAGAACUCAUGGUGGAUUUACUUACUCCCAAUGGAGAGAAAAAUUGGUCAAAUAAGGCAAAUUGAACACUUCACAAGCAGGCGCAAGAUCAGCCUCUUAGCUUCCCACCUCGUGGCUGUGACAGAGGUGGGGACAGAGGCUGAGGGUCAGUAACUGCAAAGGCAAAGCCAAAUGGAGGUGCCGUGCAGACCCAGAUGGAGGGGCGCCAGAUAGAAUUGUAGACCUCAGAGCCGCAACUACAGGAGCUGUCCGGGUGUGCACGUUUGGUUUACUUUGUCUCUUGUUUUGGGAUGGCCCCCUGGGCUUAAAUGCCAAAGUUGGUACAGCACCGGGUCCAUUGUCACCCGUCUCGUCAUCAGUGUUGGGCUAAACACAAGCUGACUGUCAUCUUGGCGUCCUACGUCCUCUAGUCCAUGGAAUUGCAUGUUUAAACGGCCAUGCUUUGAAUCUCGAUUCUACACUGUGGAGAGUUCAAGAUUUCUGCAAACCCCAAGCUGCAUCCAUUGCUGGCUCGUUGCUCAGAUUGCCUGCUUCCAUUAAACUCUCAAUCCACUGCACGUUCCACUUCUACGGUUCUUCUCUUCUCUCCAUCCUUUGUUACCUCACGAGGGAAACACAGCACACACUUCUCUGAUUUCCUCACCAGUGCAGGAAGUUCAUAUGUAACAGGCAUUUAUCAAAGUUUAAGGUAACAUAGGAUGCCAAACAGCACAGCAGAUGAUUUAAGCUAAAACAUGCCUCGUCUUGAACACCCUUGGGGGGACACCUGAGUGGCUCAGUGGGUUGAGCGUCCAACUCUUGAUUUCAUCUUGGGUCAUGAUCUCAGGGUCGUGGGAUCAAGGCCUGUGUCAGGCUCUGCACUCAGCACAGAGUCGGCUUGAGAUUCUCUCUCUCCUUUCCCCUCUGCUCCUCCCGCUGCCCAAGCUCUCUCUCU
This 3008-nucleotide long non-coding RNA is filed under the name Canis lupus familiaris (dog). Its description in RNAcentral is "lncRNA (ENSCAFG00000051073.1)". Lineage: Eukaryota; Metazoa; Chordata; Mammalia; Carnivora; Canidae. The record is from RNAcentral.